Molecule: ribosomal RNA, 330 nt
Filed under: uncultured eukaryote
Lineage: Eukaryota
Description: partial 18S ribosomal RNA
Rfam family: Eukaryotic small subunit ribosomal RNA
Source: RNAcentral
CCCUUAGAUGUUCUGGGCCGCACGCGCGCUACACUGAUGCAUUCAACGAGCCUAUCCUUGACCGACAGGUCCGGGUAAUCUUUGAAUCUCCGUCGUGCUGGGGAUAGAUCAUUGCAAUUAUUGAUCUUGAACGAGGAAUUCCUAGUAAGCGCAAGUCAUCAACUUGCGUUGAUUACGUCCCUGCCCUUUGUACACACCGCCCGUCGCUACUGCCAACUGAGAUGGGUCCUGAAUUGUUAGGAACGCCCGUCAAGGGGCCUACCCGGUCCCUAGUGCGGUGACGAGAAUAACUGUAAAUGGCAUAUCUUGUAGGGAGUAAAAGUCGUAACA